This 395-nucleotide long non-coding RNA is filed under the name Elaeis guineensis (African oil palm). RNAcentral's name for it is "long non-coding RNA (EGUI_LNC069508)". Lineage: Eukaryota; Viridiplantae; Streptophyta; Magnoliopsida; Arecales; Arecaceae. The record is from RNAcentral.
AUGGAUACCGGGCGAUUCUCCCGUCCACUGGCAAGUCACGACAACGGGCGCUGCUCCACUCCCUGCAACUGAUUCCACGUGGCGAGCUGCGGUGAUGGCCAUGAUUCCACUCCACUACCUCUCGCAAUAAAUUCCCCUGACCACAGGCGGCCCACUACCAGACGGUUACAGGUGUCGCCAUCAAUCCGUUGCCCCCUCCGCCUAUAAAAGGGGGACUCAGAUACGUUAUUCUCUAAGCUCAUCUCUUAUCUCAAAACUCUGCUAAAUUCUCCGUUCGAGCACUCCAUUCUUGUUGAGGCAGAGAACUGACUUGAGCGUCGGAGGGUCUUGCCGGAGCAACCCCACCUCCGGUUUAGACUUCCCUUACAGGUCCCAGUGGCGACCGCGGCUUCCCC